GAUGCACGCUGGCGGCGUGCCUAAUACAUGCAAGUCGAGCGAACAGACGAGGAGCUUGCUCCUCUGACGUUAGCGGCGGACGGGUGAGUAACACGUGGAUAACCUACCUAUAAGACUGGGAUAACUUCGGGAAACCGGAGCUAAUACCGGAUAAUAUAUUGAACCGCAUGGUUCAAUAGUGAAAGACGGUUUUGCUGUCACUUAUAGAUGGAUCCGCGCCGCAUUAGCUAGUUGGUAAGGUAACGGCUUACCAAGGCAACGAUGCGUAGCCGACCUGAGAGGGUGAUCGGCCACACUGGAACUGAGACACGGUCCAGACUCCUACGGGAGGCAGCAGUAGGGAAUCUUCCGCAAUGGGCGAAAGCCUGACGGAGCAACGCCGCGUGAGUGAUGAAGGUCUUCGGAUCGUAAAACUCUGUUAUUAUGGAAGAACAAAUGUGUAAGUAACUAUGCACGUCUUGACGGUACCUAAUCAGAAAGCCACGGCUAACUACGUG
This 497-nucleotide ribosomal RNA is filed under the name uncultured bacterium. Its description in RNAcentral is "partial 16S ribosomal RNA". It matches the Rfam family "Bacterial small subunit ribosomal RNA", at positions 28 to 507 of the family's 1533-position model. The record is from RNAcentral.